This 403-nucleotide ribosomal RNA is filed under the name uncultured Katablepharidophyta. Its description in RNAcentral is "partial small subunit ribosomal RNA". It matches the Rfam family "Eukaryotic small subunit ribosomal RNA", at positions 30 to 432 of the family's 1831-position model. The record is from RNAcentral. Lineage: Eukaryota; Cryptophyceae; Kathablepharidacea.
GCUUGUCUCAAAGAUUAAGCCAUGCAUGUCUAAGUAUAACUCUUUUACUUUGAAAACUGCGAACGGCUCAUUAUAUCAGUUAUAGUUUCUUUGAUAGUCCCUUACUACUUGGAUACCCGUAGUAAUUCUAGAGCUAAUACAUGCAUCAAUACCCAACUGUUCGCGGAAGGGUAGUAUUUAUUAGGUAUAGACCAACCCUCUUCGGAGGUGCUUUGGUGAUUCAUAAUAACUUUUGCGGAUCGCAUGGCCUUGCGCCGGCGAUGAAUCAUUCAAAUUUCUGCCCUAUCAACUUUCGAUGGUAAGGUAUUGGCCUACCAUGGUUACCACGGGUAACGGGGAAUUAGGGUUCGGUUCCGGAGAGGGAGCCUGAGAAAUGGCUACCACAUCCAAGGAAGGCAGCAGG